Molecule: ribosomal RNA, 394 nt
Filed under: uncultured bacterium
Lineage: Bacteria
Description: bacterial SSU rRNA
Rfam family: Bacterial small subunit ribosomal RNA
Source: RNAcentral
ACUCCUACGGGAGGCAGCAGUGGGGAAUAUUGCACAAUGGGGGAAACCCUGAUGCAGCCAUGCCGCGUGUGUGAAGAAGGCCUUCGGGUUGUAAAGCACUUUCAGUAGGGAGGAAGGUAGUGUAGUUAACACCUGCAUUAUUUGUACGUUACCUACAGAAGAAGCACCGGCUAACUCCGUGCCAGCAGCCGCGGUAAGUACGGAGGGUGCGAGCGUUAAUCGGAAUUACUGGGCGUAAAGCGCAUGCAGGCGGCCUGUUAAGUCAGAUGUAGAAACGGCCCGGGGUACCUUAACCGUACGGUAAUUGCUAUUAGUAAACGUGGCGAGGCUAGAGUCUUGGUAGGUAGGGGUAGUAAUUUCGAGGUGUAGCGGUAGAAAUGCGUAGAGAUCGUAG